Molecule: long non-coding RNA, 412 nt
Organism: Lutra lutra (Eurasian river otter)
Lineage: Eukaryota; Metazoa; Chordata; Mammalia; Carnivora; Mustelidae
Exons: 3
Source: RefSeq, a predicted model, not a curated record
CACACAGCAAGUUGGAGGGCAGGCAGAGGACGGCGUGAUCCUACUCCCCCCUCUCCUACAACUCACACUAAUCAGUCACAGACAAAUGAGGGGAAGUGCUGCUGAGAAGAAGAGGGGCCUUGGGGGCAUCCAAGAAGUACAUGUGAGACCUGGGUAGACAUUUCAGGGAGGCAGCGCCGAGCUUAAUACAAGGAAGAACUUUCAACUUCUGGAAAACCCAAAGAUGGAUGUCUGGUGGUAGUGAGCUCCACAGCACUGGAAAAUGGAUGGAAGGUCCUGCACGCAGAGGGUACCCCACAACAGUGGUGAAAUGGGAGAGUAAGUGGCUUAUAGCCACAGCAAAUUCAUGUGUGCCUAUCCCUGAGCUCCCGUGACAGAGCAGUGCCCCCUACCGCAUGGAUGCUGGGACUGC